AUGCUGGAGAUAGCAUCAGGCAUUGCACGAGGAAUCGAAUACCUGCAUCAAGGAUGCAAUCAGCGGAUCCUCCAUUUCGACAUCAAGCCUCACAACAUCUUGCUAGGUUACAGCUUCAAUCCAAAGAUUUCCGAUUUUGGGCUUGCAAAGCUAUGUACAAGGGAUCAUAGCAUCGUCACACUGACUGCAGCGAGAGGAACAAUGGGUUACAUCGCGCCAGAACUAUAUUAUCGGAACUUUGGGAGAAUAUCCAGCAAGUCCGAUGUUUAUAGCUUUGGCAUGCUGGUGUUGGAAAUGGUGAGCGGUAGGAGGAACUCGGGCCCAUGGAUUGAGAACCAAAACGAGGUUUACAUCCCAGAGUGGAUACAUGAGAAAAUAAGCACGGAGCAAGAGCUGGAAUCAUCAAGGGAAAUGGCGCAAGAAGAGAAGGAUGCCGUAAGAAAGCUGGCCAUUGUGGCACUGUGGUGCAUUCAGUGGAACCCAAAAAACCGCCCAUCCAUGCCGAAAGUGUUGAACAUGUUAACAGGAACCUUGCAGAGUUUAACCAUGCCCCCAAAGCCAUUUGUUUCGUCUCCGGGCCACCCCAUGCCGCAAAUCAGCUAG
This 603-nucleotide ribosomal RNA is filed under the name Triticum aestivum (bread wheat). RNAcentral's name for it is "partial small subunit ribosomal RNA". The record is from RNAcentral. Lineage: Eukaryota; Viridiplantae; Streptophyta; Magnoliopsida; Poales; Poaceae.